RNAcentral lists this ribosomal RNA (517 nucleotides) under uncultured bacterium. Its description in RNAcentral is "bacterial SSU rRNA". It matches the Rfam family "Bacterial small subunit ribosomal RNA", at positions 501 to 1016 of the family's 1533-position model. The record is from RNAcentral.
CUACGUGCCAGCAGCCGCGGUAAUACGUAGGUCCCGAGCGUUGUCCGGACUUAUUGGGCGUAAAGCGAGCGCAGGCGGUUAGAUAAGUCUGAAGUUAAAGGCUGUGGCUUAACCAUAGUACGCUUUGGAAACUGUUUAACUUGAGUGCAAGAGGGGAGAGUGGAAUUCCAUGUGUAGCGGUGAAAUGCGUAGAUAUAUGGAGGAACACCGGUGGCGAAAGCGGCUCUCUGGCUUGUAACUGACGCUGAGGCUCGAAAGCGUGGGGAGCAAACAGGAUUAGAUACCCUGGUAGUCCACGCCGUAAACGAUGAGUGCUAGGUGUUAGACCCUUUCCGGGGUUUAGUGCCGUAGCUAACGCAUUAAGCACUCCGCCUGGGGAGUACGACCGCAAGGUUGAAACUCAAAGGAAUUGACGGGGGCCCGCACAAGCGGUGGAGCAUGUGGUUUAAUUCAAAGCAACGCGAAGAACCUUACCAGGUCUUGACAUCCCUCUGACCGCUCUAGAGAUAGAGCUUUC